RNAcentral lists this ribosomal RNA (1074 nucleotides) under uncultured Parcubacteria group bacterium. RNAcentral's name for it is "bacterial SSU rRNA". It matches the Rfam family "Bacterial small subunit ribosomal RNA", at positions 28 to 1094 of the family's 1533-position model. The record is from RNAcentral.
GAUGAACGCUGGCGGCGUGGAUAAGGCAUGCAAGUCGAACGAACCUUGUUGUUUGAUGAGUGGAACAAGUAGCAAUACAAGUAAAGCUCUGAUAACAACGCUGGUUAGUGGCGAACGAGGUAGUAAUACAUAGGAAUGUACCCUGAAGUCGUGAAUAAUUCAUCGAAAGGUGAACUAAUACACGAUAGUCUCUCUGGAGUAAAGAUUUAUCGCUUCAGGAACAGCCUAUGAGGUAUCAGCUAGUUGGUAGUGUAAUGGACUACCAAGGCUAUGACGCCUAGGGGAGGUGAGAGCCUGACCCCCACCGAUGGGACUGAGACACGGCCCAUACACCUACGGGUGGCUGCAGUCGAGAAUCUUCCGCAAUGGACGAAAGUCUGACGGAGCGACGCCGCGUGAUCGAUGAAGCUCUUCGGAGUGUAAAGGUCUUUUAUGAGGGAAGAAAUUUUUGACGGUACCUCAUGAAUAAGGGGCUCCUAAUCUCGUGCCAGCAGGAGCGGUAAUACGAGAGCCCCAAGCGUUAUCCGAAAUUACUGGGCGUAAAGAGUGCGUAGGUGGUUGUAUUAGUCUUUCGUUAAAUCUCCGGGCUUAACCUGGAAACCGCGAAAGAAACGGUACGACUAGAGAGUGUGAGAGGUGUACGGAACUCUAGGUGUAGGGGUGAAAUCCGUUGAUAUCUAGGGGAACACCAAAAGCGAAGGCGGUACACUGGCACAUAUCUGACACUCAAGCACGAAAGCGUGGGUAGCGAAUGGGAUUAGAUACCCCAGUAGUCCACGCCCUAAACGAUGAUCUCUAGCUUUUCGGAGUAUCGACCCUCUGAGAGGCGUAGCUAACGCGUUAAGAGAUCCGCCUGGGAAGUACGGCCGCAAGGCUAAAACUCAAAGGAAUAGACGGGGACUUGCACAAGCAGUGGAUUAUGUGGUUUAAUUCGACGGUAAACGAAGAACCUUACCCGGGUUUGACACCUAGCUGAAAGCUCUAAGAAACUAGAGCCCUCGCAAGACUGUUAGGCAGGUGAUGCAUGGCCGUCGUCAGUUCGUGGUUUGAAUUGUUCCCUUAAGUGGGGCAACG